AACGAACGCUGGCGGCGCGCCUAACACAUGCAAGUCGAACGAGAAGGCGUAGCAAUACGCUUGUAGAGUGGCGAACGGGUGAGUAAUACGUGGGUGACCUACCCUCGAGUGGGGAAUAACCCGCCGAAAGGCGGGCUAAUGCCGCGUACGCUUCCGUCCUCACGGGGACGGAAGGAAAGCUGUACCGUGGGUACGGCGCUCAAGGAUGGGCUCACGUCCUAUCAGCUUGUUGGUAGGGUAACGGCCACCAAGGCUACGACGGGUAGCUGGUCUGAGAGGACGAUCAGCCACACUGGCACUGCGACACGGGCCAGACUCCUACGGGAGGCAGCAGUGAGGAAUAUUGCGCAAUGGGCGAAAGCCUGACGCAGCGACGCCGCGUGGGGGAUGAAGGUC
This 396-nucleotide ribosomal RNA is filed under the name uncultured bacterium. RNAcentral describes it as "bacterial SSU rRNA". It matches the Rfam family "Bacterial small subunit ribosomal RNA", at positions 29 to 416 of the family's 1533-position model. The record is from RNAcentral.